This 449-nucleotide long non-coding RNA is filed under the name Capsella rubella. RNAcentral describes it as "long non-coding RNA (CRUB_LNC003415)". Lineage: Eukaryota; Viridiplantae; Streptophyta; Magnoliopsida; Brassicales; Brassicaceae. The record is from RNAcentral.
GUUAAAUUAUGAGAAGAACACGCAAAGUCUUUACACUUUUGGCAGCUCCUCCGACGUGAUCAAGCCGCAAAAGUAUUUUACGUUACUUUUUUUUCUUCUUUCUGAAAUCUUACUUUAAAAGAAAAUUUGUUAACGAAAUAAAAGUAAUGUGGAUAAAAGUAAUAUAUCACAAAGACGGUUUAAUUAGACUGUUAGUGAAAUUAUUUUACUAAUGAAUAUUAAUCCUGAAAAUGUUCUUGUAUCUGAUCCACAUCAUAUCACAUGAAAGAAAGAUAGAGUUGAAUUCCUCAUACCUAAGGGCUAAGGUGGUAGCAGCCAAAUGGCUUAAGCCACUUGCUUUAUAUAGGUUCUUAUAACAAUAUUGGGGAUUCAAAUUGGUAACUUAAGAAAACGCCGAAUGUUAAUAAUGGUCACUGCUCACGUUGGCUAUGCUGCCUAUGCACAAGAUC